CAGAGAGCAAGAGGAAGUGAGCAAGGGAGGUCAUUCGCAAUUCUGUCACUCCUAAAUUUGUCUGAACCUUUUUGGAAGGCAUUUGUAUUUCCUGCCAGCACCACCUCUUGGGGGUGAUGAAUUCCAAUAAGUUUCAAUCCGUUUAUUACUCACUGUGAGAGAAAUUGCUUCCUUUUAUGUCUGGAACUAAACCUGGAUCACAUUUCACAGGAUAUCCCCUAGUCACAGAGUUUUGGAAUCUGACCUGGAGGCAAAGGUAUGGAUGAGAUCACAUAGCAAGGAGAUUGCUGCUGAGAAGGAGUCAAAGCCUGGGUUUUACUUGUGGCCUUGCUGCUACACCAACUUUACUGACAUGCCAUUCUGGGAUAGUCUUUUCUCUCUGAGGCUUCAAGAGAAGAUGAGAAUACAUUCCAUCCCUACCUCUUGGAGUCAUUGUGAGGACUCAGAUGAAGUGCAGCAUCACGCAACAGAACUCAGAUGCCCUCACUGCAUCUCAAAUGCACUCAGAGAAAGCAUGGAGACACAUGCUGUUUCGGCACUUUCCCCAAGAUCAGAGAGUUAUAGGAGCUGGAGCUGGAUAGAAGCCUGGUGUACACCUCUCUGACUAUUGCUUCACUGGGCCACCUGGCAUCCUGUGGAGGGGCUUCUGAGCACCUGUAAUCUGAUGGAGAGCAUGGCAGAGGCAGCUGGAUGCUAGACACUGAGGAGACACCUGAGUCUGACAAGUGGAAAGAGAUGUGUGUGGGGAAAGGAGAUCAGGCAAAGGCUCCGCAGUAGGAAGGCCAGAGUGGCCCCUGAGACCACAGGAAGAAAAGGGAAGCAAUGCUGGACAGCCGGCCAGCUCCUGGGCUGUGGGGCCAGCAGCCAUUAGAGACAGUCAGAGUAGAGGACCCUUAGACCCCACCAGACCCUGCAGAGGAUGAAACAGAAGGAUGCAAAGAGAUUUGUCCUCUUAAGAGAGGAAACAAAUACAAAUCACAAUGAAAUGCCACUUUCCUGCAUCGGAUUAACGAAUACUCGAAAGCUUAAUACUACUUAGUGUUGGCCAGGACUUUCCUUUUGCACAAUUUUGAUGGGCGAGUCAAUUGGGAAAGUGUUUGUGAGUGCAGUUUGGCAAUAUGUGUGUAUCUACAUUUUAAAUGCACAUACUUUUUGGUCCAGAAAAAGUCCCCUGAGGAUACACAUAUACCUGCAGGAUAAAUGCACACAUACAUAUAUUUAGGGUUGGCAUUUUUACAAACAGAAAAUUAAAAAUGAUCUUCAUCAGUAGGUUAAGCAAAUAAAUUAUGAUAAUACAAACUAGGGAAUACUGUGGCUUCGUAUUACUCUUAAAAUAAAACCCCAAGCCCUUUCCCAUGGCCUAUAAGGCCUGGGAUGAUUUGGUCCCUUCCCCGUUCUCACCCUAAUUUUCCACUGCUCUUUCUCUCCUCCUGCUCCAGUUCCUAGAGGCUAUAGCUGUUCCACAGACCAAGGCAGUUCCACCCUUAGGGCCUUUGCUCCUGCAGUUUCUCCUUCUUGGAAGGUUUUCUCCCCCAGAUAUUAAUACGACUGUCUCCUCACUCUAUUUAUACCUCUGUUCAAAUAUCAACAUGUGGUGAACAGCUUCGAAAAUGACCCUUAACGACCUGCCCUCCUGGUAUGGAUUCCCUCCCUUCUAGUGUGAGCUGGACCUAGUGACUUACUAAUAAUGAAUAGAAUAUUUUAAAAGGGGGGAUUUCACUUCUGAGAUCUUAUAACAGAAUACCAUGACUUCAUCUUGCAUGCUCUUUCUCUCUCCCUCUGUCUUCCUCUCCCUGUCAUUCUUGCUUGUGAGUAAGCAGGCUGCCAUGCUGUGAGCUGCCCUAUGGAGAAGUCCACAUGGCAAGGAACUGAGGGAUACCUUCAGCCAACAGCCAAUGAGGAACUGAUGCUCCCAGAGAACAGCCUGUAGGAAACUAAUUCCUGCUAACAACCUUCAGAUGACUGCAGGUCUGGCUGGCAACUCAACUGAAGCCUGAGAGAGAUCCUGAAGCAGCGGGUGCAGCUAAGCCUCUGCUGGAUUCCCAUUAGACAGAAACUAAUGUAAAGUUUUAUGAGGACAAAACUCUUGCUUAUCAUUGUGUUCCCUCGUGCCUAGAAGAGUGCCUGACAUUAAGUGGGUGCUCACGUUUGCAUCACCAGUUUUCCAUGAGAGCACCAAGCCUGUGAUUUCAGUAGAAGCUUAACUGCUCGUCUUUGAGGCACCAAAUCUGAAAAGCGAUCUUCCUGAAGACCAUGCUAAGGCAAGAACAUCCAUAUAAGGGAGAAUUCCUGAAAGUGUUCUAACACUUCAGUGGAAACUCAUCAAUGCUCUGUACCCAGAAUAAUCCCAUUUCGGAGGGUGCAUGGAUGGGGCAGAUGCAUGAUGUGCCCUGAGGAGCAGAGGAAACAUGGGCUUGGGUUGUGAAGGAUCUCAGAGAAGCUCUCCUGGACUGGCCCAAAUGUCUCAAACUUUAAUGUGCACAUAAAUCUAUUAAAAUGCAGCUUCCACUUCAACACAUCUGGAGUGAGACCAGGUAUUCUGCAUUUUUAACAAACUCUGGUGUAUGCUGGCGGAUGUCUGGAGUGCUGCUGGUCCAUGGACCGCAUGUUGAGUAGCAAGGCCCU
This 2625-nucleotide long non-coding RNA is filed under the name Homo sapiens (human). RNAcentral describes it as "HSALNT0060915". Lineage: Eukaryota; Metazoa; Chordata; Mammalia; Primates; Hominidae. The record is from RNAcentral.